Small nucleolar RNA from Talpa occidentalis (Iberian mole), 133 nucleotides. NCBI's taxonomy places the organism in Eukaryota, Metazoa, Chordata, Mammalia, Eulipotyphla, Talpidae. The record is from RefSeq and is a predicted model, not a curated record.
GAGGCCCUAAAUCAAGACCAGUGAUUUGCUGUAGCUGUUGGUUUCAAACAGGAGCCAAGAACAAGAUCUUCCUACAGUCUCUGGCCACUCAGCAUGCAAGUGGGAAUGGCUAGUUCAGUUGGACGAAACAGUU